RNAcentral lists this ribosomal RNA (465 nucleotides) under uncultured bacterium. RNAcentral's name for it is "partial 16S ribosomal RNA". It matches the Rfam family "Bacterial small subunit ribosomal RNA", at positions 28 to 507 of the family's 1533-position model. The record is from RNAcentral.
GACGAACGCUGGCGGCGUGCUUAACACAUGCAAGUCGAACGGAAAGGCCCCAUUUGGGGUACUCGAGUGGCGCACGGGGGCGUAACACGUGAGUAACCUGCCCUUGACUUCGGGAUAACUUCAGGAAACUGGGGCUAAUACCGGAUAGGAAUCCUUGCUGCAUGGUGGGGGUUGGAAAGCUUCGGCGGUUUUGGAUGGACUGGCGGCUUAUCAGCUUGUUGGUGGGGUAGUGGCUUACCAAGGCUUUGACGGGUAGCCGGCCUGCGAGGGCGACCGGCCACACUGGGACUGAGAGAGGGCCCAGACGCGGAAGGGAGGGAGAAGGGGGGAAUAUUGCACAAUGGGCGGAAGCCUGAUGCAGCAACGCCGCGGGCGGGAGGACGGCCUUCGGGUUGGAAAACGAUUUCAGCAGGGGCGAAGCUUGUGGUGACGGUACCUGAAGAAGAAGCACCGGCUAACUACGUG